GUCAACAUGAGUCAUAAGUGAGCUAGGAUAGAGACCCACAAAAACCCUUUUCAAGUAAUUAGAUAUAGUCAUCGAUGGUGUUAAACUUCAGUUUAUGCGGUAAUUAUAUAGUAUUAAAUAAUAGAUUCAUUUAAAUGCAUAAACACAUAACUCAUCUAACUAAACAUAUAAAAUGUAACAACCUAAAUUGGUAUUUAGUACCGGCUUUAUUCUUAGAUAUUUACAAGAUAUAUGAAUGUGCGGUCCAACAUCGAAUCAGAAAUGGCAGCAGGCACCAGCUAGGCUUCUUUAUUAGAAUUGCAUGAAGGACAUUAUGCUUGGACACUGACAACCGAACUCCAAAACAAACAACUCUAUUGAUAGAGAUUUACCUUUCUUUCGCUAUCUAACACAUGGAGCAGCAGCAUGAUCUUAAUGGCACGCCCACACCGGAGAGUGAAGGAGAGGCAGGGGAUAGCAACUAGCUAUUAUCUACUGCUUUUUUCACUCAUAAUUUGAACCCAAUAUUGCAUUGGAAUUGUGUUGUCCAAAAAAGUAUGCAUAAAUAAUUAAUAUUAGCACUUGAAAAUAAUUGAUUGUUGACUCUCCAUAUGUCCAUUUCAGCAUAUAAGUUUAUUUCACGCGCAAAAAAAAAAAAGGAAAAGAAUCAUCAGCUUUUUAAAAGGGACAUGUGAUAUUCUACAAAUUGAUAAUAAUAAUAAUAAUAAUAAUAAUUUUCACCAACUAAAUACACAUCAACCUUAUCAAAAUAUUUACAACAUGAAAAUUAUAACUGAACUUUCACAAUUUGUGAAAACUUUGGUGGAUUACAAUAAGUUUCCCGAAACAAUUAUCUAUUGAACUUUUAAUUUUUCUUUGAGAAAAAAAUGAACAAUGAAACAAUCGUAAAAGAUGUAAAUACGACCAUAAUACUAGUCCCUAAUUAGUUCUGCUAGAGAAAUUAAGGGCGGCAUUCAAUACCAAAUCUAAGAAAUAAAGAGAGUAACCAGGGAAGUACUUCCAAAAAAUUGUUUAAUUUCUUAGUUUUAAAAGUAACUUUUAAAUUUUUAAAAAUUCUACCAAAAAGGCUCUAUUUCAAUUCAUCAAACCAAACAAUACAUCUAGAAUAUUAAUGAUAAUUUACGGGUUACAGUGUAAUAAUGGCAAAUAAUACAAGAAACAAUUAAAUGCCAAUGAAAAAGUUGGAAACAGAUCAGACUGACAUGUAAUAAACAGAUUAUCCAGGGAGGUGGCAGCCUUAGAAUAAUAGAAAAUAUUGUCGUCAUUCCCUAAGUUUUACAAUAAUUGGAAAAAAAAAAUCAAUAAUUGAAAAACUAAAGUAAACACAUCAUUGAUCCCCCGUUUGGCCCCAUUUUUCAGAAUAAAAACGGGUAGAGUAGUGUUUUUCUAAAAAAUAAGUGGUUGAAAAAAAAAAAAAGUUUUCAC
RNAcentral lists this long non-coding RNA (1425 nucleotides) under Olea europaea subsp. europaea. The record is from RNAcentral. Lineage: Eukaryota; Viridiplantae; Streptophyta; Magnoliopsida; Lamiales; Oleaceae.